UGUGACUUCCUGGAGACUCACUUCCUAGU
Molecule: non-coding RNA, 29 nt
Filed under: Homo sapiens (human)
Lineage: Eukaryota; Metazoa; Chordata; Mammalia; Primates; Hominidae
Source: RNAcentral